UAAUGCAUGCGGCUAUUACAUCUGCAUCUACGAACAACGUGUAAUUGCCACGAGCAUGUAUAAUUAGUCUAAGGAUACCUUUUCAGUCGAGAGAGGGGACACUUUAAAAGACGCUUCCGGGCUGGAUCUAUGCGUAGGCACGAAUAGUAUUCGCUUUAUUACACGAUGUCCCAACGAUCGUGACGGUGUUCCAGAGGAGCUUACAGAGACGUGUCGCGUUGUUCCUCGCCGUCCGGCCAUCGAUCACCGGCCUUUGCAAGCGGUGCUUGACAGGAUGUAGCUACCUUCGGACAUGUUUGGCAGAUCUGCAGCUACACUUUUUGUUUGCAGUUAUCCAUCGUGGUACAGAGAUAGAAAUACCUGGUCUAUCUUGGGAUUGUACGCGCAUAUUAGGACAGUAGAAGAAAACUCCGUGUCAAGAAAAGUUUUAUUUUUAAAACGAUUGUAAUAAGAAACAGGAAAAUGUACGCGACAUUUGUCAUAAUACAACAACUGUAAGAUGAGAGUCUGCUUCCCUGACGCCGACAUUAGAGGAUCUUGUCAACUUUUACUUCGAGAAGAUUUAUGAUGUUCUUACACAACACGAUGGAGUAAACAUUAUAUAAUGUUAUACAGUAUGUGUAUCAACAAUUCUAAUGUUUUUUUUUAAAAAAAAGAAGUUAUUAAAGCGAACUGAAAGAAAUGAAGGAAAAAGCGAGGGAAUGGCGAGAAAGAAAUUUAGCUCUUUGUAACGUUAGCUGUUUCUCAAUUUGUUAGAUAUUUAGAGAACAUAUUACUAAAGAAAUAGUAAAAUGAAUAAACAUUAUCUUAUUUAAUAAAGUACGGAAAAUAUUAAGUACUAAAAAUUACUGGAAAUAAAGUGAUCGAAUAUGUGAAAUAUUUAGAGUAGGUCGCCUUAAUAAUUAACCAAUGUUAUCGUACUCAUUUCUUGCCACCCCUCGUGCAAAUUUAUGCAAAUAUUCAACACAGAUUUACAAGGAAUUCCAAUUGACCGGGCCGAAAUUUAAUUUUUCACACCUUCGAUCAAUUCCUCUUAACGAUAUUGCCGUCGUGUAAAGCUACUGCAAAUUAUGCGAUAAAUGCACGCGAUUAGGGUGCAUAUAUUAUGUUGUGAUACUCGCGGGCUUUCGCGAGAAAACAAGCCAAAAACCAUGGAGAAGCAUAAUUGAUUGCGACGACAGUAUCGAAAUGCGAAAUUUAGUAGUUCCCUGUGUAUUUCAUUUAUUUUAAACGCGGCCUCCGUUAUUCAGAAUUCAACGAUUAAAUCAACGUUAAAUUUGUACCGCGCACGCUCGCACUGCGUGCAUACCGGUUUCAAAAUAUAUGGCACCGCGCGGUACGCGCACCAUGAAUUAUGAUAUCGCGACGCAUUAGUUUUAAAUGAUGCUUUUCAACGUCACCGACGAAUUUAUGUAUAAGGAUAACCGGGAUCCUGUUAAAUUACCGGAUCGCCAUUCUCGUAUCAAUCAUGCGUGUAAGCCAGAACAGCCAAGUUAGUCACCGUGUGCGUGUGUUUAGACAGUGGUUACGAGUGUGUGCACGUGUUUUCAAUCAUGGUGAUGUUUUUUAACGGUGUUCGAAACAAAGAGGUAAAAUGUAAACGGACACCGUGAUUGAGGGAAUAGAGAACAGAGAAUCCAUAGAUUCUUCUUACAAGAUAUAGCAACCCCUGAUGGGAAGCUCUCGAGGAAAUCGUGAAAUUUUUUACAAAAUAUUGUACAACGCUUAUAUGAAAUUCGUUUGCACGAAGAUUAAUUUUUCAUUUCAAUUUAUCUUAUUUCGAAAGUUUCUGUAUUUAUAAACUUUAUUGAUUGAAUAUGGAAUUGGAUAAACUUUGAAAUGGAAAAUGAAAAUACGAUGUAUGGAGUGUGAGAUACAAUUUUUGAGCACUCGUUGUUAUUCAUUUCCGAAGCAUUGCACCGUGCAAUUCAAAAUAAAUUCGAGAAAUGCGAGCUUCCUAUGUUUUAUAAGUGUAUUAUUGGGAACAUUUGAUUUCCAAAGUUCGUUAAACCUUAUUUCGAGUAAAUGCAAUGUGCCAUUCAAUUCGAUUAAACGUUGACUGCGUGUACAGUUACCUGCAUCGUUCCUCGAUUAGCAAACUCAGCACAUCGUUCCUUCCUACACGAUUCUCGUGUCUGAAAAUAUGUGUGAGAAUGUGUCUCGACCUAUAUCGUAACGGCAUGACUAAUUGGUCGCAAUAACGGCGACGAUCUAUCGCCAGUGUAGGCCUAACCAAUAUUCACGAUCACGAGAUUUACGAUGAUUCGAUUUAGUGUGUAUCAAUUGCAUUCUGUCAUCGAACUGUAGGCUUCGAAGCUUACUUUGAAAUAUAGGUCUGCUGCAAAGUUAUUAAGAGUAAUAUAACAUUUCUUGUCGUGUUAUUUUAAACGAGUCCUUAUAAAUCCCGUUCUUUUUCAAAGUUAGAAAAGUACGAUAUAAUUUUCCUAAUA
Bombus terrestris (buff-tailed bumblebee) is the source of this 2450-nucleotide long non-coding RNA. RefSeq lists it as uncharacterized. The record is from RefSeq and is a predicted model, not a curated record. The transcript has 3 exons. Lineage: Eukaryota; Metazoa; Arthropoda; Insecta; Hymenoptera; Apidae.